GGUAAUUGGAUUACAGUUACUUUGUUGAAAUAAAUGGAUUACACAGAGGGAUUUUCCUGUUUUCACAUUUUGGGCUAUUCCCCUUUUUUUUUUUUUCUCGGUAAUUCCACUCAUUGCCAGACACUAAACCAGGUCUAAACCAGGUCUAAACCAGGUCUAAACCCGGUCUAAACCCGGUCUAAACUCAGGUACAAACCAGGUCGAAACCAUGUCUAAACCAGGACUAAACCAGAUCUAAAACCAGGUCCAAACCAGUUUCAAACCUGGUCUAAAUCAGGUCUAAAACCAGAUCUAAACCAGGUCUAAACCAGGAUUUAACAGGACUAAACCAUGUUGCACGGACCAUGACUCCUCCUCUUCUAUCAAUAAUAUUUUAAGUAAAGUAAAUUAUCUUUUAACAGACAAAAUAUCUUAUGUGAAGAUUUCCUCGUUUUUGCUUCUCUACAACAAACCAAGUAAUCCAAAGUAUUCAGAUUACGU
Boleophthalmus pectinirostris (great blue-spotted mudskipper) is the source of this 480-nucleotide long non-coding RNA. RefSeq lists it as uncharacterized. The record is from RefSeq and is a predicted model, not a curated record. Lineage: Eukaryota; Metazoa; Chordata; Actinopteri; Gobiiformes; Gobiidae. The transcript is spliced from 3 exons.